AGAGCGAACGCUGGCGGCGUGCUUAACACAUGCAAGUCGAACGCGCAGCAUUCUGUAGCAAUACAGGGUGUGGGCGCGUGGCGAACGGGUGCGUAACACGUGGAUAACCUUCCUUGAGGUGGGGAAUAACCCAGUGAAAAUUGGGCUAAUACCGCAUAACAUCGCGAUGGCACAUGCUGAUGCGAUCAAAGGCGCAAGUCGCCACAAGAGGGAUCCGCGGCCGAUUAGCUUGUUGGCGAGGUAAUGGCUCACCAAGGCAAUGAU
RNAcentral lists this ribosomal RNA (264 nucleotides) under uncultured bacterium. RNAcentral's name for it is "partial small subunit ribosomal RNA". It matches the Rfam family "Bacterial small subunit ribosomal RNA", at positions 26 to 280 of the family's 1533-position model. The record is from RNAcentral.